Molecule: ribosomal RNA, 253 nt
Filed under: uncultured bacterium
Lineage: Bacteria
Description: partial 16S ribosomal RNA
Rfam family: Bacterial small subunit ribosomal RNA
Source: RNAcentral
UACGAAGGGUGCAAACGUUGCUCGGAAUUAUUGGGCGUAAAGCGCACGUAGGCGGCUUUUCAAGUCCCAUGUGAAAGCCCACGGCUUAACCGUGGAAGUGCAUGGGAAACUGGAAAGCUUGAGUACUUAAGAGGAUCGCGGAAUUCCCGGUGUAGAGGUGAAAUUCGUAGAUAUCGGGAGGAACACCAGCGGCGAAGGCGGCACUCUGGGCCGGAACUGACGCUGAGGAGCGAAAGCGUGGGUAGCAAACAGG